Molecule: RNA transcript, 1353 nt
Organism: Polypterus senegalus (gray bichir)
Lineage: Eukaryota; Metazoa; Chordata; Cladistia; Polypteriformes; Polypteridae
Gene: rwdd3
Gene name: RWD domain containing 3
Exons: 6
Source: RefSeq, a predicted model, not a curated record
GUUCAGUUAUAAAAGAUAACCCGCUUGUAGCCUUGGCACGCAUUAAAGCCCGAGUAGGAUGCGGAACGGAACAUUUUUGAGUCUGGUGCCCGUCGGUUGAAAUGUACGACGGACUUGUCCUCAGUUUAGCGAACUUUUCAGUUUCGAGUGAGCUAUCCGUGUAUUAUAUUAAUGGCCGAAGCGAUAGCUGAAGAAAUAUCUGCGCUGAGUGCCAUUUACUGUGAUAAGGAUGAAUUUGAGUUACUCGAAACGACAGAUACAGUUGGAGCCAUAUUCAGAAUUCAGAUUGCAGUGGACAGUGGCUCAGAAAGGAUUCUUUUGAAGCUCCAAUUUCACCUGCCUAUUGAAUACCCAUCUUCUCCACCUGAUAUUUCAGUAAGCUGUGAGAGGCUCACUAGGAAGCAGUGCCUAGCUAUAAAGCAUGCCUUGCUCGAAAAGGCCACAUCGCUCAUAUCGGGUCCCAUGGUCCAUGAACUGAUUGUGUGGCUGCAGCACAAUUUCACAUCCAUCAAUGAGAAAUCAGCAAAUCCAAGAACUCCCAAUUGUCAGAGUGAACAGGGCGGUGAUGCUGAACUAUGGACAGCUCUUCUACUCCUAGACCACAUGAGAGCAAAAAGUAAGUAUAUGAAAACAAUUGAGAAAUGGACUUCAGACCUGGGACUCACAGGAAGGCUGUUUAUGGGAAAAUUGAUAUUAAUUCUUUUACAAGGAAGGAAAAGAAACAUUAAGGAUUAUAUCGUUCUUCAGAAAACCUCAAAGGUUGAUGUAGAUUCAAGUGGAAAGAAAUGUAAAGAGAAAAUGAUGCAGGUCCUCCGGGAAAUACAAAUGCCAUCUAGCUACCAACAAAUUCCAACAUUUGAAAUUAAAGAUUAUUCAUCUCAGGAGGACCUCAAGCAAGAAUUUGAAUUAACUGGACUAUCAGAGCUGUAUCUUGAGCUUGCACACAUGUUGGUGUUACUGAAGGGUGUCCAAAGGGGAACUGUGAUGUCCUUCAAGUGAGCUAGCGCCAGUCUCUCAAAGCUUUUCAUGACAGAUGUCAUAACGGAAGGCCUGCAAUCAUUCAGUCCUGGAAUUUAUUGUAUCAACUGGCAUGGGUUUGCAAGUGAAGAUGAUUAUGAAGAUCUUAAGUGGAGCACUCAUAUAAUCAGACAAAGGAUGGAGCAACAAUAAAUAUGGGAAUCCUGUCACUAAAAAUACAUACGUUGUUGCCACUCAGCACCUGGGAACCUUGAUACAGAGUGGGUACAUAAUAGUUGCACAUGACCACAAUCUUCCAUCCUCCUUUCUCUGUACAUGAAUAACAGAAAUGACACAUCUUGUCACCCAAAGAGUCAAUAAACCAUGGGAGCUGAU